AUCCAAGGCAGUCGUAACGAAGUUAAGGGAAUGACCAUCUUCCAAAUGUAUUUCAAUGAACAAGUGGGUUAUAAAUAUUAUUCACAACAUUAGUAUUAUGGAAAUAUUAAGAAAGGUUGAGGGCGAAAAAGGAAAUUCGCAAAAUAGAACCAUGGUGAUAUUAUGGAAGGCUAGGGGUAAAAUGGUAAUUUCACAAAGUUCAAGAAAAUUCUAGAAAAAAAUAAAAAUAAAUAAAUAAAUAAGUAAGUAAGUAAAGAAAGAAAGGAGCAUGUGGCCAUUUUAUAUGUGAAGGGGGCAAAGUGUAAAUAUAGAUGGACUAAAGUGUAUGAAAGAAGACACUUGGUCUUCUUUGACCAAGUGAGGAAAAAUCAAGAAAAGAAAAGAAACAUCAAGAAAAAGGGAGAGAAUUCUAGAAAAGAAAGAAAUGGGGCAUGUGACCAUAAUUGGGGGACUAAAUUGCAAAUAUGGAUAAGUGAUGGAAGACCUAUAUAUAUAUAUAUAUAUAUACAUAAGAGGUCUUCAUAAUUAAAUUAGAGAGAAAGAAAGAACAACAAAAAAAAAAAAAAAAAAAAAGAGAGAGAGGGUUCGGCCAAGGUAUGGCCAAGCAUGGCCAUGGGAGAUUUGAUCAAGAAAAAUUAUUUCUUUCAAGCUUUCAUACUAAGUGGAAGGUUCUCUACAAUGUGGAGUAUUAGUUGGAACAACUGAAUCAUUCGUUUCGCAAAAAUGAGGUUCUAGCCGGGAAAAGGAACUAGUGCUAAGAUUAACAAGUUGGACGAAUAAGCGUAGCUAGUAAGGCGCGGCGCAGGUACACCCAGAUGAGCUGAGGCCCUUAUAGAAGAUGUUCCAGCGAAGUUGGCGAGCUCCAGCUAGCCCGGGAGUGUAGCCGAGUCAGUGUAUAUGUGCCAUGGUUUCCGAUUAUAGUUAGAGACUUUGCAGACAGAGUCGUGGGUAUAGAGCGUCAGCUUUGUAGACGGCUUCGCCUGUCAAUUUGUUAUUACGUUUCAUGUCACGCGUUCCAUAUGAUGAUACACUCUCCAAAAAAAAAUAAAAAAUUGAUAGCUUACUAUGCAUUUUAUUCUGAAUUGAUUCCAGAGUUUAUUUAUGUAAUAAGAGUCAGCGGGUUCGCUCGGCUCCAGAUAUGGGGUCGGGUGCCCAUCACACCCUAGUAAGGUCGGGGUGUGACAAAGUGGUAUCAGAGCAGGUCGGUCUAAGGGGUUGUCUGCAAAGUCGUGUCCAGUAGAGUCCUGUUUAUGAGUGUGAAGCCGGCCACAUUUAUACACAGGAGGCUGCGGGGCAUUUAGGAAUUGUUGACCUUCUUUCAAUCUUAAAUCGUGCGAUAGAGCCAAGUCAUAAGGAAUAAGAUUUCCCCAUACGAGUUAUACGUACAACAAAAGGAAGCGAACGAGGCUAUGGAUGCUUAUAGAGGUAAGUCCUGACAUAAUUGUUCUGUUACCUGAACUGGAAGUACUGGAUGGCGGGGAUGUGCCAUGUAGUCGUACGUUUUAUGAGGCAUUGAUGACAUUGGCCGCAUACAGAUUUUGAAUAGUAGGAACGCUAAAGGAGGUUC
Lycium barbarum (goji berry) is the source of this 1567-nucleotide long non-coding RNA. RefSeq lists it as uncharacterized. NCBI's taxonomy places the organism in Eukaryota, Viridiplantae, Streptophyta, Magnoliopsida, Solanales, Solanaceae. The transcript has 3 exons. The record is from RefSeq and is a predicted model, not a curated record.